This 183-nucleotide small nuclear RNA is filed under the name Oreochromis niloticus (Nile tilapia). RNAcentral describes it as "U1 spliceosomal RNA (ENSONIG00000031577.1)". It matches the Rfam family "U1 spliceosomal RNA", at positions 27 to 166 of the family's 166-position model. From Rfam's summary of the family: U1 is a small nuclear RNA (snRNA) component of the spliceosome (involved in pre-mRNA splicing). Its 5' end forms complementary base pairs with the 5' splice junction, thus defining the 5' donor site of an intron. There are significant differences in sequence and secondary structure between metazoan and yeast U1 snRNAs, the latter being much longer (568 nucleotides as compared to 164 nucleotides in human). The record is from RNAcentral. Lineage: Eukaryota; Metazoa; Chordata; Actinopteri; Cichliformes; Cichlidae.
GGAUCUACCAGCGGCUGUGGGACGGUAGUGUGGGUCGUUUUCCACGCUUCUUUUGUGUACAGCACAGGUGAAAGACUGUAGUAGGUUCCUUUGUGUGGUGUGCUGACCCCUGUGAAUUCCCACAUGCGGGAAUCUCAACUGCAUAAUUUGUGGUAGUGGGGGACUGCGUCGCGCUCUCCCCUC